AAAACGACUCUCGGCAACGGAUAUCUCGGCUCUCGCAUCGAUGAAGAACGUAGCGAAAUGCGAUACUUGGUGUGAAUUGCAGAAUCCCGUGAACCAUCGAGUCUUUGAACGCAAGUUGCGCCCCAAUCCUUUUGGCCGAGGGCACGUCUGCCUGGGUGUCACAA
This 164-nucleotide ribosomal RNA is filed under the name Cardamine x ferrarii. RNAcentral's name for it is "5.8S ribosomal RNA". It matches the Rfam family "5.8S ribosomal RNA". From Rfam's summary of the family: 5.8S ribosomal RNA (5.8S rRNA) is a component of the large subunit of the eukaryotic ribosome. It is transcribed by RNA polymerase I as part of the 45S precursor that also contains 18S and 28S rRNA. Functionally, it is thought that 5.8S rRNA may be involved in ribosome translocation. Lineage: Eukaryota; Viridiplantae; Streptophyta; Magnoliopsida; Brassicales; Brassicaceae. The record is from RNAcentral.